UAGGUCCCCGAUUGGAGAGCGCUAGUUUAAGCAUUCGCAGUAUCUUCGUCGUGAGGGCAGAAGGGCGGCACGGCGUCCCUGCACCUGUGGCUUGGCACGGCGAAGUGCCGGAGCUUGCCGACCUGCUCCACCAUGUAUGCCUCGCAGAGGAAGGCCCUGGAGAAGCGGUCCUCCACCGGGCGGUCGACGUCGUGCACCAGCACGUCCGUGGUCGCGCCGGGCCGCCGCGCCGCGCCGCCAUCCCGGCGGCGUAGAUGGCGCCCAUCCGCCCGGGAGACCACGGCGCGUACCCCGUGGGCGCGUCGACCAGGAUGACGUCCCACUCGGCCUUGUAGAACGCCGCGGGGAGCCCCGGCGGGGCGAGCCGGCACGGCGCGGCGGCGAGGUCCGGUUGCGCGACGCAGGCCGGGUCUCCGCGGAGCUCCAGGAGCUUGUCAGCGUCGCCGACCUUGGUGUCGUCGUAGGCCAAGCAUUCACCUUCGCCGUGGCCACGAGUAAAAGCUGGUUGGAGACAUGGGGUACGUUCGCCUACCUUACGGUUUGUGCCGUCCUCGUGAUCGUCAUGCUGGGCAAACUAGGUAGCUGCAUCAAGAUUCUUCCCCGGCUGCUUCGUCGUUGACCUGCGACGCGCGGCCGGCAGCGGCCUUGCUGGUCUCAAUGCCAUUCAGCUCAUGUUAGUCCGGGGAAAUUUUACCCCGUGUGUCAUCUCCACCAUCAACCAAAAAAUAAUCUGUCAUCGAGAGUUUGCGGCUUUGUACUGCGUGGUGGC
RNAcentral lists this long non-coding RNA (769 nucleotides) under Setaria viridis. RNAcentral describes it as "long non-coding RNA (SVIR_LNC002610)". The record is from RNAcentral. Lineage: Eukaryota; Viridiplantae; Streptophyta; Magnoliopsida; Poales; Poaceae.